UACGGAGGAUGCAAGCGUUAUCCGGAAUGAUUGGGCGUAAAGCGUCCGCAGGUGGCAAUGUAAGUCUGCUGUCAAAGCGUCUGGCUCAACCAGAUAAAGGCAGUGGAAACUACAUAGCUAGAGUAAGGUAGGGGUAGAGGGAAUUCCUGGUGUAGCGGUGAAAUGCGUAGAGAUCAGGAAGAACACCGGUGGCGAAAGCGCUUUGCUAGGCCGCAACUGACACUGAGGGACGAAAGCUAGGGGAGCGAAUGGG
RNAcentral lists this ribosomal RNA (253 nucleotides) under uncultured bacterium. RNAcentral's name for it is "partial 16S ribosomal RNA". It matches the Rfam family "Bacterial small subunit ribosomal RNA", at positions 524 to 776 of the family's 1533-position model. The record is from RNAcentral.